RNAcentral lists this ribosomal RNA (440 nucleotides) under uncultured bacterium. RNAcentral's name for it is "partial 16S ribosomal RNA". It matches the Rfam family "Bacterial small subunit ribosomal RNA", at positions 338 to 795 of the family's 1533-position model. The record is from RNAcentral.
CCUACGGGAGGCAGCAGUGGGGAAUAUUGCACAAUGGGGGUAACCCUGAUGCAGCGACGCCGCGUGAGCGAUGAAGUAUUUCGGUAUGUAAAGCUCUAUCAGCAGGGAAGAAAAUGACGGUACCUGACUAAGAAGCCCCGGCUAACUACGUGACAGCAGCCGCGGUAAUACGUAGGGGGCAAGCGUUAUCCGGAUUUCCUGGGUGUAAAGGGAGCGUAGACGGCGGUGCAAGUCAGAGGUGAAAGCCCGGGGCUCAACCACGGGACUGCAGUUGGAACUGUGCUGCUAGAGUGUCGGAGAGGCAGGCGGAAUUCCUAGUGUAGCGGUGAAAUGCGUAGAUAUUAGGAGGAACACCAGUGGCGAAGGCGGCCUGCUGGACGAUGACUGACGUUGAGGCUCGAAAGCGUGGGGAGCAAACAGGAUUAGAUACCCUGGUAGUC